Long non-coding RNA from Rhopalosiphum maidis (corn leaf aphid), 918 nucleotides. RefSeq lists it as uncharacterized. The record is from RefSeq and is a predicted model, not a curated record. The transcript has 4 exons. NCBI's taxonomy places the organism in Eukaryota, Metazoa, Arthropoda, Insecta, Hemiptera, Aphididae.
UAAUAUUAUACACGUAUAGGUCGCGUAGUAGCCGUUCGCAUUCAUUGGUCACACGCCACUCUCGCUUUUGUUAUACGCUGGCGUUGGAAGCAAACAAUUUUACUGCACGUGUUUAUUUUUAUUUGCCAGCGUAUAAAAACAUCAAAGGUCACCUAAUGUUAAUGUCUCCGAAGUGUAAACAGUACAUCGAUUACAACUGUGCAGGUCCGACUGAAUAUUUAAAAAGAAAACUCGUCGUUUUUUCAAUGCUUGUUAAAUAUUUCUCAAUCUAUUUUGACUGAACUAUAUACUAUUGUUAAUUUAGAAUCAAAUGUUUUUCAAUAAUUUUACUUAUUUAUUAAUUUUAAAUAAAAACAAUUUUGAAUUGUCUGUCAUUAUUAUAUGUACUCUGAAUAGUCUAAUACGUGUAGGUAAAUAGUGUACACUGGUUUACAAGCAAAUCAGCGUUGGUGUACCUCACUUUGUAAACUAAUUCAACUGAGAUGGUCAAUUCGGCUGUGGUGAUUUGGAUAUAGCACUUGAGUCGCCGGAGAUUAUACCGCCCGUUGAUUGACGACCGGUAACAAGCAGCCGUAGAACAAUCCAUUCGAAGAAUAUUGUUGUCGUUUGGAGACGACAAGAGUCGCUUGGCACAACAUCCUAGCUAGAAUUUAUGCAAUGUGAUAGACGUGAUGAUUAGACAAUACAGCAGGUGCACGUCACACGGCAAAAAUCUCGAUAUCCAACUUGAAACAAAACGGCGCAGAGGUAUAACAUUACGCAAAGUGAUAAAUUGUUAUCAACCAAGUAACCAACCAACUACGUCUACUUAGCUACUUGUAAUUCACAACUCCACUUAUCUAAAUUUAAAAUAUUUAUUAAUAACUAUAAAUUGUUCAAUAUAUGAUAUUUAUUGUAUUUUAUACACACAUUUUUUUU